RNAcentral lists this unclassified non-coding RNA (205 nucleotides) under soil metagenome. RNAcentral's name for it is "partial contains 5.8S ribosomal RNA, internal transcribed spacer 2, and large subunit ribosomal RNA". The record is from RNAcentral.
AACACUGUUAACCUGCGGUACCUGCGGAAGGAUCAUUACCGAGUUUACAACUCCCAAACCCCUGUGAACAUACCAAUUGUUGCCUCGGCGGAUCAGCCCGCUCCCGGUAAAACGGGACGGCCCGCCAGAGGACCCCUAAACUCUGUUUCUAUAUGUAACUUCUGAGUAAAACCAUAAAUAAAUCAAAACUUUUAACAAUGGAUCU